This 398-nucleotide ribosomal RNA is filed under the name uncultured bacterium. RNAcentral's name for it is "bacterial SSU rRNA". It matches the Rfam family "Bacterial small subunit ribosomal RNA", at positions 358 to 773 of the family's 1533-position model. The record is from RNAcentral.
GGAAUCUUGGACAAUGGGCGCAAGCCUGAUCCAGCCAUGCCGCGUGAGUGAAGAAGGCCUUAGGGUUGUAAAACUCUUUCGCCGGAGAAGAUAAUGACGGUAUCCGGAGAAGAAGCCCCGGCUAACUUCGUGCCAGCAGCCGCGGUAAUACGAAGGGGGCUAGCGUUGUUCGGAAUUACUGGGCGUAAAGCGCACGUAGGCGGACCGGAAAGUCAGAGGUGAAAUCCCAGGGCUCAACCUUGGAACUGCCUUUGAAACUCCUGGUCUUGAGGUCGAGAGAGGUGAGUGGAAUUCCGAGUGUAGAGGUGAAAUUCGUAGAUAUUCGGAGGAACACCAGUGGCGAAGGCGGCUCACUGGCUCGAUACUGACGCUGAGGUGCGAAAGCGUGGGGAGCAAAC